CCCUUAGAUGUUCUGGGCCGCACGCGCGCUACACUGACGCAUUCAACGAGUCUAAAACCUGGUCUGAUAGGGCUGGGUAAUCAUUUAAAUGUGCAUCGUGAUGGGGAUUGAGCAUUGUAAUUAUUGCUCAUGAACGAGGAAUUCCUAGUAAGUGCAAUUCACUAAAUUGCGCUGAUUACGUCCCUGCCCUUUGUACACACCGCCCGUCGCUCCUACCGAUGAAUGGUCCGGUGAGGACUCGGGAUGACCUUUGGAUUUGACGAUGUUCAUUCCACUGUCUGUCAGAACUUGUUCAAACCUUAUCAUUUAAAGGAAGGAGAAGUCGUAACA
RNAcentral lists this ribosomal RNA (330 nucleotides) under uncultured eukaryote. Its description in RNAcentral is "partial 18S ribosomal RNA". It matches the Rfam family "Eukaryotic small subunit ribosomal RNA", at positions 1470 to 1796 of the family's 1831-position model. The record is from RNAcentral.